This 1035-nucleotide long non-coding RNA is filed under the name Anas platyrhynchos platyrhynchos (common mallard). Its description in RNAcentral is "lncRNA (ENSAPLG00000028377.1)". Lineage: Eukaryota; Metazoa; Chordata; Aves; Anseriformes; Anatidae. The record is from RNAcentral.
GAAGUUAUGGAGUUUUAUUUUCUCUUUUUUGAGACUAACUGGGAUGCAUACAUUUUUACACAUGAGUAAUACGGAAUGUUACAGUAUAAGUGUAUAUUAAAAAUAAAUUAGAACAUGAUACAAAAGUCUGAGGUCCAUAUUCAUUCAUACGAGACUUAUUCUCAAAUAAACAUGAAAAUAUUUUGUUUCCCUUCUCUUAGAUGACUGACAACUACACAAAAAGACCACAACAUUUGAUGACUAUGGAAGGAAUAAGGAAGAGGAACAAAAGAGAGAAAAAGCUGAAAUAGGCUUUGAAAUAUGUUUGUGUUCUAGGGGAAGCAAAUUACUUCCAAAAUAUGGAAAUGAAGACACAGGGGCAGGAAAGUAGUGCAAAGAGAAGGCAUUUUUCCCUGACCUCAUUUGGAUAUCAAGGACAACUCCUAUAUCCUUAGGGAACAGAUAAGUAUGUGGGUUGAACAUGCUGCUUCACACAAUUUUUGUUCAUGAAAACACUUGACUUGUCAAAAGUAAACACCUGCAAAAAAAAAAAACCCUGUUUGGGCCUACUAUAAUUCCAUUGCUCAAUUGGCCUUAUUAAGUGCAUUUUAAGAAAUUCAUUUUGUCUCUCAUAACUGCACACUGCUUUGUUUUUGUAAUUUAUAUCUUAAGCUAUAGUCCCAGUGUAGUCACAAAACCUGCAGUAUUUAAAAACCCAACUAUUACUGUGCUAAGCUAGGGUAGAAGACAAGUUUCAAGGCUGCUUGAAUUAGCUGGUAGUUUCUUUAGACUUGGAGGUUUGAGGGUUUCUUUUUUCAGCAUGUUGGUAACUUGACACCUUUUUCUAUAUUCAGAAUGGGCUUGGAAAGUGAUGAGCCACAAACAAAUUGAAAGAUUUGUUUCCCAGCUUAAACUGCAUGAUCAGAUUUGUUUACUCUUGUGACUACAGUGUCUCCUAUUAUGGGUGUGUACACCAGAAUGCUAUUUGAAGUUUUUAUCCCAGGAUAACUAGGGAGACAAUAACUGCACAAUGCUUUGUUUUUGUUGUUGUGUAGC